This 139-nucleotide ribosomal RNA is filed under the name Microthlaspi perfoliatum. Its description in RNAcentral is "5.8S ribosomal RNA". It matches the Rfam family "5.8S ribosomal RNA", at positions 18 to 154 of the family's 154-position model. Rfam says of the family: 5.8S ribosomal RNA (5.8S rRNA) is a component of the large subunit of the eukaryotic ribosome. Lineage: Eukaryota; Viridiplantae; Streptophyta; Magnoliopsida; Brassicales; Brassicaceae. The record is from RNAcentral.
AUCUCGGCUCUCGCAUCGAUGAAGAACGUAGCGAAAUGCGAUACUUGGUGUGAAUUGCAGAAUCCCGUGAACCAUCGAGUCUUUGAACGCAAGUUGCGCCCUAAGCCUUCUGGCCGAGGGCACGUCUGCCUGGGUGUCA